AUCCAGCAGACGAGACCAGAAUAGGACGAAGUGCGCAUCCUGGAU
This 45-nucleotide non-coding RNA is filed under the name Trichobilharzia regenti. Lineage: Eukaryota; Metazoa; Platyhelminthes; Trematoda; Strigeidida; Schistosomatidae. The record is from RNAcentral.